AAGUGCAGAUGAAGCGAAGGUGUGUCAUUGAGUUCAUCCAUGCAGAAGAAAUGUCACUUAUUGAUGCUUGGUGAAUAUUUCUGAGACCAAACAGUGGAUGUGAGCACAGUGAGGGGUGAGUGGUGCUCUUCAGCAGUGGCAGCAGUAGAUCUGAUCUGCUGGUGCAGGUUCUGAUGAGCAUGGCACGUACGUCUUGUUCUGCUGGCAAAAAUGCAGAGUUCAUGGCAGUGACUAUGUUGAAAAAUAGUGUUUUGUAGCUGAGAAUUUACUCCAUCAGAUACUGUUAUUGUGUUCUGCGUGCUCUUGUAGCUUCCAUGGAAAUAAAUAGGAGGUACAACUUUUGGAGCAACCUGCGUUCAUGCAGCCCACGAUGAUUCCUCUUCACUCAGUGUGCCAUGGGUUGGACACACAUGUUGUACAGCACAGAGACAAGUGCAGAAGAGAAAAUGAUGCUACAGCAGGUGAUAAUUCAGCUCUGCUGAAUGCACCAAACCUCACACAAGUGUUUGAUGUGGGGACCCCUGCCCACACGGGGACGGUGCUCUGCAAAUCCAGGCAGCAGGCAUCAGCCUUGGAGAAGCGCUGUGCUGCAAACAACAGCCAGAGAAUGACUUUAUUAUUUUAUUUUUGUUAUCUUCUUAAUGAAAGAUGAGGUUCUGGAGAAGGAUGGAGAGGCCUUUGCAUGACCCCACCAAAAUCUCUCAUUAUCCUUCAGGGGUGGGCAAGCACCUAUACCGAUAAACAUUUGACUAAUGGACAAGCCUCAACAUCAUAAACAUUGCCUCCCCGUUUUCGCUAAUUGUCCUCCUUGUCACUGCUGUUUGCAGAGUGACAAAUGAUUUGGUUUUAAUGGAGAUCAAAUUCCCCUGUCGCUCUUAAGUAAUCCCUUUAAGCCAAGGAUGAGUCAUGGGGACAGGACGGAGCGUGUAGGGAGAGGAUUUCAAAGGAGUUGUUCCCUCCAUACCUGAAUCAUCUGUAACAGCAGUCCCAGACCAAUUUUCCCUGCAGGCAUGUUUUCUCAGCCAAAGCCUCUUUGUUUCCUGUAGCAUGAGCAAUAUUUAUCCUUCCCCAUGCUGCAAGACCAAGCGAACACCUGAUGGAAUUAAUAAACAACCCAUUUAAAACUGGUGUGCGAGCAUGCUUGGGCAACACCAAGACAACUCAGGAUUAGAGGGUCAUUUUCCAGUGAAAACUUGGUAAGGAUUGAAAGUAAUAGAAUGGAUGUCCAGUUUGUUGUGUGCGAGGUUCAAUGGACCAAUGGUUGGCCAGCAGUGUUGGCCAUUGCUCUAGACGUGGAAGCAAACGUGGACAUUCCCAAAACCUGAGGACUCAUUUGUGUGAUAGUUUUCUCCAAAUGAAACGAUAGCUUUCAAAAUUGGAUUUGAAAGGAAAAAAAAAAUAUCAAAUCCCCAAGUCCUUAGCCUAAGUUACUAAACGUGCUGCAUGUGAGGGGAAGACUGCUGCUUGUCCAUUUAGGAAGCAGUGUACUGUUGAGAGAAAGGCCUCCAUUAUCUCAGGCAUUCCUGCAGCAGUUCAGAAGAGUUUAUAGAAAACCUUCAUUUACCAGGGGCUGCUAAGCAUCUCCUGGUGCCUUUUACAAACUGCAGAUCUAUAGAAAGAGGGAAACAUAGCAGAUGUGUGACACUGAGAGUGGAAGAAUGGGAAGCGCUGACCUCAGGCCCUUGUGAUGGCAAGGAAUUUCUUUGGAUAAAAAGAAAAAAAGAAAGACUAUGCGAUUACUGUUAAUGUGAUCUGGAAGAAAAACUCCUCCUCAACUGCAAAUAUGUCAAUUUGGGUAUAAGCUAUGGAGCAAGAGAUAGCAGGUGGGCAGCUUGAGGCCAUGCAAAGCUGUUCCAGAAUUGUGGAACCUCAGUGCUGUGGUUUGCUGUGACCCAGCUCCAGCUCUUCAAGGACAGCAAUUAAAAAUCCAUCCAGGCACUGCCAAGCAGGGAACCUUUCUGCUGCUCAUCUGCAGAGACCAGCAGAGGAGCCACCAUAUUCGGUGUUAAUGCAAUAUUAACGUGGUAAAAGCGUGUUAGCCUGAGAUUUUGUCCAACAGGAAAUGAUUGUCACAUCAGAGACUUCAUUCUCGCUUGAAAAACAAAAAAAGCACUGUGAAGUGCAGAGAUUUACCUGGAAGAUUUGUCAGGAAGAGAAUCAAACAAGACACAAACAACUCCCUUUCAAAAAUUAUCUUGAUGAUGUAACAAGCCUUCAAGAUCCAGCUGGGUGAAAAAAAAGUCUUCCAGCUGAGAUUUGAUAGCAGCCUCCUAUUGCUAGGAAGUUAUUAAAAAUCCUGCCCCAGGGGAGGGCCCACUGUGCAACCACUGCCCCCCGGUAGCCCAGAUUCUGUGAUUUUUUUUGGAGGUGUUUGGAUUUCAGGAAAGAAAUUAAAA
Meleagris gallopavo (turkey) is the source of this 2396-nucleotide long non-coding RNA. NCBI's taxonomy places the organism in Eukaryota, Metazoa, Chordata, Aves, Galliformes, Phasianidae. The record is from Ensembl.